AACGAACGCUGGCGGCAUGCCUAACACAUGCAAGUCGAACGAGACCUUCGGGUCUAGUGGCGCACGGGUGCGCAACGCGUGGGAACCUGCCUUUAGGUUCGGAAUAACUCAGAGAAAUUUGAGCUAAUACCGGAUGAUGUCUUCGGACCAAAGAUUUAUCGCCUUUAGAUGGGCCCGCGUUGGAUUAGCUAGUUGGUGGGGUAAAGGCCUACCAAGGCGACGAUCCAUAGCUGGUCUGAGAGGAUGAUCAGCCACACUGGGAUUGAGACACGGCCCAGACUCCUACGGGAGGCAGCAGUGGGGAAUAUUGGACAAUGGGCGAAAGCCUGAUCCAGCAAUGCCGCGUGAGUGAUGAAGGCCUUAGGGUUGUAAAGCUCUUUUACCCGAGAUGAUAAUGACAGUAGCGGGAGAAUAAGCUCCGGCUAACUCCGUG
Molecule: ribosomal RNA, 433 nt
Filed under: uncultured bacterium
Lineage: Bacteria
Description: partial 16S ribosomal RNA
Rfam family: Bacterial small subunit ribosomal RNA
Source: RNAcentral